RNAcentral lists this ribosomal RNA (457 nucleotides) under uncultured bacterium. Its description in RNAcentral is "bacterial SSU rRNA". It matches the Rfam family "Bacterial small subunit ribosomal RNA", at positions 340 to 786 of the family's 1533-position model. The record is from RNAcentral.
UACGGAAGGCAGCAGUGGGGAAUAUUGCACAAUGGGCGAAAGCCUGAUGCAGCUAUGCCGCGUGUAUGAAGAAGGCCUUAGGGUUGUAAAGUACUUUCAUCGGGGAGGAAAAACAAAACUAAUAAUUUUAUUUCUUGACGUUACCCGAAAAAGAAGCACCGGCUAACUCCGUGCCAGCAGCCGCGGUAAUACGGAGGGUGCUAGCGUUAAUCAGAAUUACUGGGCGUAAAGAGCACGUAGGUGGUUUUUUUAAGUCAGAUGUGAAAUCCCUGGGCUUUAACCUAGGAACUGCAUUUUGAAACUGAAAUACUAGAGUAUCGUAGAGGGAGGUAGAAUUCUAGGUGUAGCGGUGAAAUGCGUAGAUAUCUGGAGGAAUACCUGUGGCGAAAGCGGCCUCCUAAACGAAUACUGACACUGAGGUGCGAAAGGCGUGGGGAGCAAACAGGGAUUAGAUACC